AGAGUUUGAUCAUGGCUCAGAACGAACGCUGGCGGCAGGCUUAACACAUGCAAGUCGAGCGCCUCGCAAGAGGAGCGGCAGACGGGUGAGUAACGCGUGGGAAUCUACCCAUCUCUACGGAACAACUCCGGGAAACUGGAGCUAAUACCGUAUACGUCCUUCGGGAGAAAGAUUUAUCGGAGAUAGAUGAGCCCGCGUUGGAUUAGCUAGUUGGUGGGGUAAUGGCCUACCAAGGCGACGAUCCAUAGCUGGUCUGAGAGGAUGAUCAGCCACAUUGGGACUGAGACACGGCCCAAACUCCUACGGGAGGCAGCAGUGGGGAAUAUUGGACAAUGGGCGAAAGCCUGAUCCAGCCAUGCCGCGUGAGUGAUGAAGGCCCUAGGGUUGUAAAGCUCUUUCAACGGUGAAGAUAAUGACGGUAACCGUAGAAGAAGCCCCGGCUAACUUCGUGCCAGCAGCGGCGGUAAUAC
This 470-nucleotide ribosomal RNA is filed under the name uncultured bacterium. Its description in RNAcentral is "bacterial SSU rRNA". It matches the Rfam family "Bacterial small subunit ribosomal RNA", at positions 8 to 526 of the family's 1533-position model. The record is from RNAcentral.